UGUGUGUGUGUAUAUAUGUAUAUGUAUAUGUAUAGCCUGUGAGUGUAUAUAUAUGUGCAGUGUGGCCAUUUGUUCUUCUCAAUACAUCGUUUGCAGUUAUUUUCAUCAUCUCCAGGCUCACAAAAUUAAACAGUGCUCUUCCUGCAGAUGCUCCGGUUGAUCAGAUUCAGAUUCGUUCAAUGACGAUGAUGAUGGCCGGAGAGUAUACCGGAACCCGAUUACAUGCCAAACGUGAAGUUUCUCUCCCGCUUAGUUUCAUAUUUGGCACAUGAUCAUCGGGCUCUCGGAUACUCAAUACUGCAUGCAGCGCUAAGAUUUAGUGAAUCUGAUCCAUUCGAGUGGUAGAAAAUACUAAGUACGGAUAAAUCAAGGAGAUGCUAAUAGUACUACAGCAUGAGAUAUUUGGUACCACUUUUUUUAAUUGCAACAAUAAUUAUCUUUGAAAAAUAUAUUUUUUAUUGAAAUCGAACCUUAGAUACACAUAUAUUUAACUUAGUCGAUUGUCAAUUGAGCCACCAUUCGUUUGUAAUUUUACAUUAUUUACUUACAUACUGUUUUACUUAUUUAUAAGAUCAGCUAAAGUUGAUCUCUAUGUAGUCCAUGAUGUGGUUAAUUAGUAUAGCAAAAUCGUGAGAUUUGUCAUUAGAAAAAGUCAAAAGGGGCCAAACUUAUAGGCCCAUCAUAUUUGAUCCAUUGUUUGUA
Molecule: long non-coding RNA, 702 nt
Organism: Tripterygium wilfordii
Lineage: Eukaryota; Viridiplantae; Streptophyta; Magnoliopsida; Celastrales; Celastraceae
Exons: 2
Source: RefSeq, a predicted model, not a curated record